This 2186-nucleotide long non-coding RNA is filed under the name Ceratitis capitata (Mediterranean fruit fly). RNAcentral's name for it is "uncharacterized LOC110118424, transcript variant X4". The record is from RNAcentral. Lineage: Eukaryota; Metazoa; Arthropoda; Insecta; Diptera; Tephritidae.
UCUUUUCAAAACGAUUAUAAAAAUUAUUUAAAAUCUGAAAGUCUUCAAAAAACCAGAAUCUUACGAUGGCUAACCAAUUUCAAGAUAUUAGAUUUUUGUUACGUCGGAUCUCUCAGUUGAAUCAUAAGCCAAAGUUUUAGAAAUAAGGAUUCUUAAUGUAUAUAUAAAAAUUUUUCACAUACAUAUGUACGCAUUCAGAAGUAAAAGCUUCACCUUACCCAAAUAUUUAAAAAAUUAAUAUGCAAGAAACGUUUGACCAAAAGUGAAUAUAUUUGCUGGGUGUUGAUUGCAAAAGGAUUCUUCUGCCAACCGAAUUCACACGCAUAUUCUUUUGGAUACUUAAGAAGUGGUUUGUUAAAGAACACAUACCGUAAAAUUUAAUGAGCGCAACAUUCUCGACAAUAUUCUUAUUUUGGGUGGGAGUGACUGAUUUGACUCAAGGCAGCGCAUAAGAGCAGGUAUUAGAGUUGGGCUCCGGUAUACCGCACCUACAAUAUAGACUUGUGGUUUUUAAAGGGAAUACAUUCUUCGACAGCCGCUGCUUGAUCUAUACUCAGUUUGGUUUGCCAUACCAUAACGAACAGAGGUUUGCAAAUCGUGCAAAUUAAUUAACAAAAUAGUGUUCUGGAGCGGAGUAUCGAAAAAGACCCGAAUAAGAUCCCCGCCGUCGGGAGUAGAAAGAAAUGAUAACGUUAUAGAUUAAUUAUUAAUAUUUUUUUUUGGCCUUUUCUAUGGUUUCAACAAUACUGGGCUACCCAUACAGCUAAUGAAACAAUCAAUCACAGAAAAAAAAAAUAAAUUAAAUUAAUUAUGAAUCCGAAGGAUCUCAAGCACAGAAGCCCAUCAUCCUUCGUGCUAAAAUCAUUAAAAAUGAUGCAUCAAUGAAAUUUCUCUUACGGACUAUUGAAGAGAAGUUGUUUCAAAUGAAUACGAAAACAAUUUCAAUUGAAUGUCUUUUAAUAAAAAGGAAUGCUGGGCUGCUACACUUUUAGAUAAACCGGGAAUCGUUAACAAUAUUUUACCAGGUGAGCGAAUUUGGAGAAUCUUAACAUUUAUCUUCAGGAGCAGCAAGGCAGAAGCUUUAAGGCGAAUUUGCUAUGAAAAGCGUAUUAACUGUAUUACAAACAGGCCGUGGUAAUUGGAGUUCGGAGGUAAGGAUUCCUCAUUAUCCAUAUGCCUACCUUGCUAUGGGCAAUGUUAGGGUUUGAUGGUCUUUCCAAGAUACUGAUGUCAAGGUAAUUGAUGUAAUGAGGAGGAAUGAUGAAAGAAUGAAGCAUCGAACUGCUACGACUGUAAAGCCUAAUUGAUGGGAGAUUCCACAUCACAACGACCUCAAUCUGGCUUAAGAAAAAUCGAUAACUUCACCUAAAAUUUAUGCGAUCACUAUGAAAAGUAUCAUUGUAAUCAUGUAACAAUAUUUGUUGUUUUUCUUAACAAACCAAAAACAAAUUUUAUGUGGGAACCAGCCGUCAAAUGCGUGGCUUGUAAGGUGAGCGCCAACCAAAUGUUACACGCUUAAUCACAUACUCGCAUGUCGGCAAGCAGAGCAAAACCAAAAUGAGGCACAGAAAUGCUUAUGUUAAGAAGAAAUCCGAAGGGAGUUGCACUCAGUAUGUUCACAGCCAAGAAACAGCAUGGAAGUUUAAAAUCACUUGUUGUGGAGUAAACAUUUGUAUAUUAUGCACGAGUAUGUAGCUAAGCUAGGAAGUUAUGUAGAUGCUCUGGUGUAGGCAGUAUGAGUUGACUUGUUUGUUUGAUAAUAAAGCAGCAAUAAUAGCAAGAACAAUCACCAAUACUCGCACUCGUUUGUAGAUGACACCCAAACAACGGUUUGCCUUCAGCGCACAUACUCGAAUAUUUUCAACUUGUUACAGUGUUGAACUCUCGAGGCAUUUGUUUCUGCUAUUGGGUGGCCAGGCGUAACUCCAUGUCAUUGUCGUCAAAACACACAACGAAGGACGAAGUUCGAAAGUUGCUUUUGUAAACAACAAAUAAACGAUGACUGGAGUGAGCCAGUCAUUUUCAAUGUGAGUUUCCGCCUGCAGUGCACAGUGUUGUAGUUUCCUAAGUCGAAAACAGAGUGUAAACUCAGGUGUUGAGAAGUUUUUUUUUAACUUAUCGUAGGUAAUAUAAAAAAGGAUAAAAAAGAUUUUUGUGAACUCAAAAUAAAAGCGUACAAUUAUCAU